CCGUUGAAGGUGGUCUGUGAGGGCUGCUGGAGGUAUCAGAAGUGCGAAUGCUGACAUAAGUAACGAUAAUGCGGGUGAAAAACCCGCACGCCGGAAGACCAAGGGUUCCUGUCCAACGUUAAUCGGGGCAGGGUGAGUCGACCCCUAAGGCGAGGCUGAAAAGCGUAGUCGAUGGGAAACAGGUUAAUAUUCCUGUACUUGGUGUUACUGCGAAGGGGGGACGGAGAAGGCUAGGCUAGCCGGGCGACGGUUGUCCCGGUUUAAGCAUGUAGGCGGAGUGACCAGGUAAAUCCGGUUGCUUAUCAACGCUGAGGUGUGAUGACGAUGCACUACGGUGCAGAAGUAGUUGAUGCCAUGCUUCCAGGAAAAGCCUCUAAGCAUCAGGUAACAUGAAAUCGUACCCCAAACCGACACAGGUGGUCAGGUAGAGAAUACUCAGGCGCUUGAGAGAACUCGGGUGAAGGAACUAGGCAAAAUGGUGCCGUAACUUCGGGAGAAGGCACGCUGGCAUUAGGUAAAGGGACUUGCUCCCGGCGCCGAAGCCAGUCGCAGAUACCAGCUGGCUGCAACUGUUUAAUAAAAACACAGCACUGUGCAAACACGAAAGUGGACGUAUACGGUGUGACGCCUGCCCGGUGCUGGAAGGUUAAUUGAUGGGGUCAGCCGCAAGGCGAAGCUCUUGAUCGAAGCCCCAGUAAACGGCGGCCGUAACUAUAACGGUCCUAAGGUAGCGAAAUUCCUUGUCGGGUAAGUUCCGACCUGCACGAAUGGCGUAAUGAUGGCCAGGCUGUCUCCACCCGAGACUCAGUGAAAUUGAACUCGCUGUGAAGAUGCAGUGUACCCGCGGCAAGACGGAAAGACCCCGUGAACCUUUACUAUAGCUUGACACUGAACAUUGAGCCUUGAUGUGUAGGAUAGGUGGGAGGCAUAGAAGUGUGGACGCCAGUCUGCAUGGAGCCAACCUUGAAAUACCACCCUUUAAUGUUUGAUGUUCUAACUCGGCCCCGUAAUCCGGGGUGAGGACAGUGUCUGGUGGGUAGUUUGACUGGGGCGGUCUCCUCCCAAAGAGUAACGGAGGAGCACGAAGGUUAGCUAAUCACGGUCGGACAUCGUGAGGUUAGUGCAAAGGCAUAAGCUAGCUUGACUGCGAGAGUGACGGCUCGAGCAGGUACGAAAGUAGGUCUUAGUGAUCCGGUGGUUCUGAAUGGAAGGGCCAUCGCUCAACGGAUAAAAGGUACUCCGGGGAUAACAGGCUGAUACCGCCCAAGAGUUCAUAUCGACGGCGGUGUUUGGCACCUCGAUGUCGGCUCAUCACAUCCUGGGGCUGAAGUAGGUCCCAAGGGUAUGGCUGUUCGCCAUUUAAAGUGGUACGCGAGCUGGGUUUAGAACGUCGUGAGACAGUUCGGUCCCUAUCUGCCGUGGGCGUUGGAAGAUUGAGAGGGGCUGCUCCUAGUACGAGAGGACCGGAGUGGACGAAUCACUGGUGUUCGGGUUGUCAUGCCAAUGGCAUUGCCCGGUAGCUAAAUUCGGAAGAGAUAACCGCUGAAAGCAUCUAAGCGGGAAACUUGCCUCGAGAUGAGUCUUCCCUGGGGCUUUAAGCCCCCUGAAGGAACGUUAAAGACGAUGACGUUGAUAGGCUGGGUGUGUAAGUGCAGCGAUGCAUUGAGCUAACCAGUACUAAUGAACCGUGAGGCUUAACCUU
Molecule: ribosomal RNA, 1702 nt
Filed under: Yersinia enterocolitica
Lineage: Bacteria; Pseudomonadati; Pseudomonadota; Gammaproteobacteria; Enterobacterales; Yersiniaceae
Description: partial 23S ribosomal RNA
Rfam family: Bacterial large subunit ribosomal RNA
Source: RNAcentral